RNAcentral lists this ribosomal RNA (32 nucleotides) under Heterocapsa arctica. RNAcentral's name for it is "partial Eukaryotic small subunit ribosomal RNA". Lineage: Eukaryota; Dinophyceae; Peridiniales; Heterocapsaceae. The record is from RNAcentral.
GCAGGCCGCCCGUCCCUCCCCGAAGGCGAAGG